This 257-nucleotide ribosomal RNA is filed under the name uncultured bacterium. Its description in RNAcentral is "partial 16S ribosomal RNA". It matches the Rfam family "Bacterial small subunit ribosomal RNA", at positions 524 to 777 of the family's 1533-position model. The record is from RNAcentral.
UACGUAGGGUGCAAGCGUUAAUCGGAAUUACUGGGCGUAAAGCGUGCGCAGGCGGUUUUGUAAGUCUGUCGUGAAAUCCCCGGGCUCAACCUGGGAAUUGCGAUGGAGACUGCAAGGCUAGAAUCUGGCAGAGGGGGGUAGAAUUCCACGUGUGAGCAGUGAAAUGCGUAGAUAUGCGGAGGAACACCGAUGGCGAAGGCAAUCCCCUGGGCCUGCACUCGACGGCUCAUGCACGAAAGCGUGGGGAGCAAACAGGA